This 294-nucleotide ribosomal RNA is filed under the name Triticum aestivum (bread wheat). Its description in RNAcentral is "partial small subunit ribosomal RNA". The record is from RNAcentral. Lineage: Eukaryota; Viridiplantae; Streptophyta; Magnoliopsida; Poales; Poaceae.
AUGCGUCAGCUUCGGCUCAUCACCAACAUGAGGGCUCAUAAUGACACGUGGUUUGCCAAUUACUUGCUAAGGGUCGGCAAUGGCACUGAGGAAGUUGAUGAUCAAGGCAACAUAGUACUCCUUGAAGAUAUUUGUCUACCGUCUACAGGCGAGGUUGACGAUCUGGAGAAGCUUAUUGAGCACGUAUUUCCGAGUCUAGACGACAACAUGGCUGAUUCGAAUUACAUGACAUCUCGAGCAAUCCUUUCCACAACUAACGGCAAUGUAGACAAAAUAAACAUCCGCAUGAUAGAG